RNAcentral lists this unclassified non-coding RNA (248 nucleotides) under Hevea brasiliensis (rubber tree). Lineage: Eukaryota; Viridiplantae; Streptophyta; Magnoliopsida; Malpighiales; Euphorbiaceae. The record is from RNAcentral.
UUGGCAUUCAAGAACUCUCUAAGACUUCUCCUUUGGGGAGAUUGAGAGGAAGUGACAAUGUGUUGGAGGUAUACAGCCGGUGUUAUAAUGAACAACCACUGGUCAUUCAAGGUGCUGGAGCUGGCAAUGAUACUACAGCAGCUGGUGUGCUUGCUGAUAUCCUGGAUAUUCAGGAUUUAUUCCCUUGAAAAAAGUGGGUAAUUCACUUCUGAGACUCAGAUCAUAGAGACGAUGUCACAGGAUGCGCC